CCUGCGACGGAUACCGCGUGAUUCUUCCAUCCUCUGGCAAGUCGCAACAACAGACACCGCUCCACUCCCCGUGAUAGACUCCACGUGGCGUGUCCCGGUGAUAGCCACUAUUCCACCCCACUACUCUUCGCAACAAACUCCCCCUGACUCUGGGCAGCCCACAGCCAGAUGGUUACAGACACUGCUAUCAGUCUGUUGCUCCCUCCUCCUAUAAAAGGGGGACCCCAGAUACGUUAUUCUCUAAGCUCUCGUUUUUACCUAGAAACUCCGCUAAAAUUUCCAUUCGAGCACUCCAUUCUUGUUGAGGCAGAGAACUGACUUG
Molecule: long non-coding RNA, 322 nt
Filed under: Elaeis guineensis (African oil palm)
Lineage: Eukaryota; Viridiplantae; Streptophyta; Magnoliopsida; Arecales; Arecaceae
Description: long non-coding RNA (EGUI_LNC064842)
Source: RNAcentral